AUAAUAACGUGAGAGUAAGUAAGGAUCCGUAGCAACGCACGGGUAUUUCUACGUAGUAAUUAAUAAUGGAGGCUAUAAUACCCCUCUUUGACUUAAAAUAAAACACCGAACUCGUCCUCUCGCUCGCCUCUCGCACAAUUAACCAAAGAAAACUCUGAACAUAUAAUGCAGAUGGAGUCUCUCUUCUUUAUUACAUCAAAGACAAUCUCUCUCAGUGUCCGAUCUUAUAACACGAGUUCCUCCAUUUUUAUAUGCGGAUAACAAACUUUUAACAUUAAGUUCCAUGUGGACCGAAGGUUUAAUAAUUUAGCUGCUGCUGAUGUAGUGGUUCAUCUUGUCGUAGUACCUGUCCCAGAUCAUGAGCCCUCCAUAGUUCGGCACCUUCUGUGCGAACUGCAGGAUGCCAUAGUAGAGGUCCUUCUGGAACAGGUACGCGUCCCUGUCCGCUUGGUCUUCAAAUCCCUCGAACUGCGGGACGUCUACACGCGUCUCACGAGCACAUACAAGCAAACAUGGGCAAAAAGUAAGAAACAGUACACCAAUCACAAUUAAACAGAGAAAAUAAGCUUGUAAAAUUGAUCUACGCUUUAAAACGAACACGUGGAUAUAAAGAACACGAAAAACGGAGUUGAGAUGCAAAAGAUAUGAUUAAAACAAGAUCCAGGGGCUUUUCUGUGAGAAAAACAAAACUUUUAGGGCCAAACCGCGAAAAUCGAGGGCUUAUACGUAAUUACGCGUAUAAACCGAAGGUUUAACACGCAAAACUCCAAAACGGACGGCGGGUUGAUUUUUAGAAAGAUCAGGGUUUAAACCGAAAAGUGCGAGGGCAGAUCUGUAAUUAUUUUUCAACGCGAUCUGGAGUGCGGGUUGAUUUGCGCAAAAGGCGGGGGCUUAAGAGCAAAAGAGACGCGGCGCGACGCGGUUGACCGUUACGCGGUUCGGUUGACCCGCUGCGAGCCGUCGGAUCUAGAUCCGACAGUCGCGGUCGUCGAUGACAUCGCGACGGCGGCGGAUGGCGGCGAGCGGCGGACGGCGGCGAGCGGCAGUGGGGUCGCCGGAGUAGGCCUAAACAGCGCUCCGGGGCUCGGUUUGGCGCGGGGAUUGCACGGGAAGAGAGCGGGGAACACGGCGAACCCGUUUAGGGCCUUGGCGGGAGCCACGGCGCGGCGGCGCUCACCUUUUGGCAGCGGCGUGCGGCGGAGAGAGGCGGCGGCGCAGGAGCUUGCGGCGGCUAGGGUUUGGAGGGUGCUGGCGCGGGUGCUCGAGGCUGGGGGGCGGCGGUUUAUAUAGGGGUGGUUGGCGGCGGGAUAGAGGUAGGGCGGAUCCCGCGCAGAGAAAACGCGCGGCGGUUGCGGCGUCGGAGUCCGGUGCAGUCGGGGGAGGAGUCCUGGCCGGAUACGGCCGGAGGACGGGGAUGACGGGUGGGUCCCACCCGUCAGGCCGGCGGACGGAAGGGGCCGGCACUGCUUCGCGGGCCGCGGGGAAGAGGCGAAGCGGUGGGCCGCGUGGGCGAGGAGAGCUGGGCCGGCGAGGGAGAAAGAAAGAUGGCCGGCGAGCGGGGAAAGCGGAGGCUUCGCGGGCCGGCGGAAAGGUGGAGCGGGCCAGAGGAGCUGGUGCGCGGCUGGGCCGAAAGAAGGAAAAAGAAGGAGGAGAAAGGGGAAUGCGGCCUAGGAGAGUAAAAGAGAAAAGAAAAAGAAGAGGGAAAAGGAAAAAGAUUUUGGAAAUUGAAUUUAAAUUUGGAAUUCAAAUUUUGAUUCAAACUCAAGCAAUCAAAAAUUAUGCUCCAGCAUGAAUGCACAAUAAACUCCUAGGAUGAAUUAAUUAAAUUAAAGAAAAUGAAAUUAAAUGCCUAGAAUUUAAAUGACAUCCUAAAUUGAGCAAAUUUUUAAUGAAUUUGAAUUCUCCAAAAAUUUGGGUGUUACAAGUUGUGGUAAGUUCUGCCCGACCUAAAUACUUUGGUAUUAGUAGAGAUAGAGAAAAGAUGCAGAAUUGUUAUGCAGUUGACAUAUGCAUACUUAGAGAUUAUCUAAUUGCUGGUUGAAAUUUAAAAAAAUUCUACUUCUUUUGAAUGCAUAUACAUGUAUAUUGGUGACGGCUAGUGAUGUAUUGGCUAGUGACGGCUAGCUAGCAAUGUAUUGGUGGCACUGGCACCAUCAUAUAAAUGUCACCUGUGAGUUAAUUGAAUUGAAUGAUGCACCAUCAUAUAUAUGUCACCGGUUUGUAGACCGGACUGGUUCACGGGAAAGUGUGAAACGUACGAGCAUGCGUGCUAAAAGGUACAAUCUUCAGAUGUGCCUAUUCAUGUGAGGUCCUGAUUCACACCUUGCUAGCUGAACGUAGAAAUCCAUCCCAAGGGGCUACGGGUGGGCAACAGAUAUACUGAAAUAGGACCUUCGCAUCGUCCCAGGUCCGGUCAACACAGGUUGACUGUGAGAGGGUCGAAGACCCUAUUGAUAUAUUUGAUUUGUGCGCACUUUCCCAAAUUUGGAUGGCCCAGUAGUGGACACACGGCAUGGCAUAUGGCGUCAACACUGGACGUACGAUCGUACGCUAGAGGAGAACGUUUCUGGACAUUUGCUCAAGUAUGGGUGAGUUGGAUUGAGGACGUGUAAGGACGGUGCUAUACGGUGCUAGGUGAUCUAAGCUAUACCAGACUUGGAACGCAUGCAGUCACGUAGUACCUGCGUGAGAAUCAGAGAAUGCAAUCGUGCGUUUUUCUAGAAGUCCAUACGAAACCCAUCCAACAAUCUUGCAUCUUCUUCGGCGCCACAAAACCAACGUCCCGCUCUCUACCGGAUCCGGCCCAGCAGCAAGGGCCCACCAAAGUUACGAACGAACCGCUUCCAGGCGGCCGUAUGAGCCUAGAGUUCCCACCAGUCCUGGUUGGUUCGUCUUGCACUCCUCCGCUCCGUCUGCUCCUCCAAAAUAGCCCAAGCUACCCGGUGAGGAUGGUGGCCGGCCGGUGGGGGCUGUGUUGGAGCGAUUCAGUCUGGCCUCCGCCUGAAUGGCGGUUUGACUUCUUGUGGAGAAAAAGAACGCAGCUAUGAGCAGCGUUUGGAACUGAAUCGCGGUUCUGACUGAAACCUGCAGGGAAAGAGUGUGAUACGUGGCUCUACUCAACUGUACUCAGAAAAGAAAAGAAGGCAAGGACCAAGCUCAGUCCCAGUAAAAAGGUCGAUGGGUAUAUAUAUAAAGGAGUUCACUUCACAAGUUCAGACAAUCAAACUUCACUUCACAGAGCUCAGCCCAUCGCCAGCAUCAAUCCGGUAGCAGCAACGGCGUCUCCAACCGUCUCCUUCGUCGCCAUUGCCGUGGCUCUGAUGGCGUUCCUGCAACCCGCUGCCACCAGUCCGCCAGCACCACCAGCGACGGGCGUGCCGACGAGCUGCGCGUACACCCUAUACACCCUUUUCGAUUGCUUACCGUUUCACGGAAAAUAAUAUAUUGAAUGGGAAAAUACAUAUUCCUGACAAGCAGCAUAAGUACCCGCCAGCACAGAAACCAUCUGUUGUGUCGGGUGGCUAAUGUCGCCCGCCAGCAGAGAGCGGUCUGUGUUGGCGAACGCCCGCCAGCACAAACGGUAUUUCUGCUGGCUCAAGGUUGCUGGCAGGUGCGAUAACUGAUAGCACAAAUCUGUUCUAGCCGCCAGCCCAAAUGCUUUCUUUGUAGUGCAUUGAAAAAUCUGCUUUGAUCCAUGUGAACAAACCUGACCGCGCGCCUUCCUACCUGACAAAUCAAAAAGUACUGGUUUCUGAAAGUGAGCCUCCAUUUGGCUUUCUCCAAAAUCUCAUGGGCGAACUAGAGUGAGGCCAGAUGAUGCUCAUACCGGCUAGAACCCAGAGGUAGUGGUGAUACCCCUGAAAAAGUGAAAAGGGUAAACAUGUUUACUGAGAUUUCACAUAUGCGUGGCCUAUCAUUACCUUUUUGCCGUUUCGUCAUGCAUUUCUCCUCGGAGUCGACCAACUUUUGUGUGAUCGGGAGAAAGUACAUGCUGCCAUUGAAUUUCAUGGCCCAUUCCAAUUAUGCCCGUACCACCACGCUUUAAUAGUAACUUUUGAGACAUAUACUCCGCAGAAAUGACUGAUCGAUAAGACCCGCAAAAAUGACUAUUAAGUUUACGGGAUCCAUACUCUUUAGGGUUCUUGCAUGUGACCUGGAUAAUGUUAAUAGCAAUUCCAAAGCAGGCUGCAGGCAACUAAUCAAAAAACAAUUCUCCUGACCCUUGUGCUCUCUGCUUCCCCACGUAUCUUUCCUCCCAUUUUGCCGAUCUUUCAACCUUCGUGCAGACUGUGCAGAGUGAACACUUUGACAGCAGAAGCAUUUCAAGUUAAACCUUUUUUUUUACUUUGACUUGAGGUGAGUAUAGCUAUGUUUAGGUUUUUCCAAAGUUAAACUUUUUUUACUUUGACCAACAAUAUCUCUAAAAGUAAUUUAUUUCAAAACGAAAAAAAAUAUUACUAACAUCAUUUUUAUAUUAUUAAUCUCUAUGAUUAUUUCGUUAUUCAUAUCAUAAUUGAAAAAAAUAAUUAACUUUGAAAAAUUCUAAACCUAGCUAUAUUUUAGGAUGGAGGGAAUUGCAAUCGGCCUAAGGGGGUGUUUGGGAACACCGUGCUAAACUUUAGCACAUGUCGCAUCGAAUGUUUGGCUCCUAAUUAAGAGUAUUAAAUAUAGUCUAAUUAUAAAACUAAUUGCACAGAUGGAGUCUAAUUCGCGAGAUGAAUCUAUUAAGCCUAAUUAGUCCAUGAUUUGACAAUGUGGUGCUACAGUAACCAUUUGCUAAUGAUGGACUAAUUAGCCUUAAUAAAUUCGUCUCGCGAAUUAGACUCCAUCUGCGCAAUUAGUUUUAUAAUUACCUCAUAUUUAGUUCUUCUAAUUAGCAUUCAAACAUUCGAUGUGAUCCUGCUAAAGUUUAGCUCCUCCUAUCCAAACAGCUUCUAAAUCUGUAAAUCAGCCCACACUCCCUUGGCUCCUGCUGGGCUGCUACACUGUCCAGCGGUACAUGUUUACUACUGUGCAUGACUCUUGUCGCGAGGAUCGGAUCUACUUGGUUGAGUUUUUGCUCGAGAGUCAUGACGUGACGUGAGCGUGCAACACUAAAGAAAUUCGUAGCCAUGCCAGCUGGUUUCAGUCAUACACGGUCAACUGCAUGUGCGCAUGCACAAGCUUAUGUUGUGAUAAUCAGAAGCAGGUCGGAAGCAGAUUCUUGCUGUUGCAGUACUGUUGCUGAUCCUGAAGCUUGGGAUAGUGCUGGGAACCAUCUCGUUCAGUCAUUUUCAUUGUAUCAUUGUUGGGCAUUACCACUAAACCUACAGUAGCACGCACACACGCCAUUAAAUACUUAUCUUCUGUAAUCUCUAUCUAAUAUUAAAGUGCAGCAGUUUCUUCCAACCGUCGCAGUUUUUUCAAAAAAAAAUUCAACUUUUUCAUAAUCAACCCGCAGUCCUUGGAAUAGUUCUUGAUGAUUUUACGAAAAGGUUCCCAAACUUUACUGCAAUUGACCCAAAGUCCAAACUUUGCUCCUCUUCUUUUGUCCCGCCUACACAGCACACUCGCCGGCGGCAGCGCGGGACGCGCGCCACCGCUCCGUCGCUUAUGUAGCCAAUCCUCCCCGCGCUCACCACGCACUACUGCCACUCGCGCUAGCGCUGCUCCCUCGAGCUGCACGCUCUACCCACCACCUGGACCUUAGGUGUGAAGGAGAGAGGAGGAAGGGAAAGAAAACAAGGAGCCAAGUUCUUCUUGCAGUCAACCAAGUAGAGCCAUGUGCUAUCGAGGGCAUGGCGCUAGGGAGAGGGGCAUCAAGCAAUUGAAGGCUCGAUUUUGCAUUUGAUUGGAACGAUUUGAAGUGGAUUAUAGAAGGAAGGUGGAUGGAAACGAAAGAGAGGAGGCCUUGUUUACCAACUUUUCUUCAAAUACUUCCCAUCACCUCAACAGAAAGCUUCUGCCUGCUAAUGAACACUCACAUACUGAGCAUGUGUAUUGCUGUUGCCUGAUAUUCUUUGCCUGUAUGCAGACUAGUGCAGGUGCAACAAUGUGGACUGAUGUCACAUUUUGGGGGCUCCUUGUGCCAUUUUUCUACCGUGACAAGUUUGUGUUACCAUUGGUAUGUGAACAUUUCGAUUUGUGUGCAUAUUCUUUCCUAUUCUGCCUCAGUAGUACUAGACACUAGCAAGCCUCAAUAGUCCACGCUAUUAUACAUUUUGAUUGUUGCUAUCCUGACUUGAUUGCAGGCACAAAUUAAAUUCUUUAUAUGUCAAUAUCAGUAUAUCACAGCAGUAUGAUGGUAUCCAGUACUUGCUGUUAUAUUGACUGAUGAAAAAAACAGUGUACAAACUCUAAACUUUGAAGUCAAAAAGUUUGUGUCGAACAUGUCAUUACGUCAAUAAGCGAAGCCUGUGGCCAUUUGAUAGAGGAAUUAGUAGCAGCAACAACAAUCGUUUAAAAAAAAAAGCAGCAGCAGCAUAGCCUUUCAGUUCAAAGCAAGUUGGGAUAGGCUAGAGUUGAAACCCAACAAGAACCACAAAUCAGAGUUCAGGCACAUGAAUAGCUAUUUUCCAAACAUUCAUAUCCAGAGCUAAAUCUUUAGGUAUAUAUAUAUGUAGCGCCGGGCGGUGGCAGCGGAUGGCGGCUGACAACGGCGAUGGGUUGCUCUUGGCUUGCUCGGCAGCCAUCAACUCGAUCGUGUGCCUCGCUCUAGCCUCUAGCUAGCUAGCUAUUUAUGGGCUCUUUAGUCGUCUAGACUAGGGAGCAGAAGAAUAAUCUGUUAAAGUUGGCAUAUACAAUAUGUUCAAGGGAUAUAAUAUACUUGUCCUCUUCUCAUAAAUUUGCAAUUUUAUUCAUAGUGUUCGUUCCCAGGAGCUUUUUACGUUUGGUUCUUCUUGCAUAAGGGGUUGACAGAAAAAAUGGAAAGCUGGCUGGCACAGCGCACUUGAAUGUUUUGUAAUUUUGUUGGCCCAGUAGAAGAACAUGCCUGUAGUGCUUUGGGAUGUCGACGGGGCACGCAAACUCGGUCGUCUAUUUUGUGAGUAAUCCACUGAUGGAACUGCACGCUUGCGUGCUCUGUAAUCAACUAAUUUAUUCUUGUUAAUAUAAUGAUACAUAGCUCUCCUGCGUAUUCGAGAGAAAAGAAAAAACAUGGCAUGUUAGAUCCAUAAGCCUUGCCUGGAUUGAAAAAUGGGUGCUCACCGGCCCAAAAAUAGUAGCACCUUUCAUCUUCCCAGACAGUAUACGUUUUGAGAAGGGAUGAUAAAACUAAACGGAUGCUGCUGCAGCUCAUUCCAUUAUAUAAAACAUGUAGUACGUCAACUCUCUUCUUUCGGCAGCAAAAUUUGGCUCUGUUAAAAAAAAGCAGAAGCCCGUAAUAAAUAAAUCACAUCCAAACAUAUGGGUUAAGGUAUCGACUUACUUCUCACGGAAGGUUAAGAAGGUAUCAAAGUAAACACACGAGAGAUCGAUUCCUGGUUUGAUUUCAGUGCAUCCCUUGUGCCUCUAUAAAAUUAACCUGCCUGGCCUAAGAACUGAAGGAGCAAAGCACGAUCAACAACACACAAGGAGAAAAGCUAGCUUCUUCUCCACAGUCCACACCACACUAGGGUCCUGUUUGGAACAGUUUAAAUCCAACCUAUGACCAAAAUAAGCUGAAGUUAGAAGCCAAACGGCGUGGCGUAUUUUUUUGCAGCUUUUUUUUCACCGUUUUUUUUUUUCGCCGCGCUUCUUCCCACCACCUCCAUUUGUACUAAAACGCAGAAGCUAGUUCAGACCUGCUUCUCAAAUAAGCGCUAUUUCAAUAUUUAUAUAGCUUAUCUGAGAAGCAGUUCUCCCAGCCGCGGUUCCAAACAGGGCCCAGCUGUGCUUGGUUAGCAUGGCACAUGUCGACGAGGGCACAUGCGUUUCAAUAUCUUUACAGAAAAGAAUACUAUCUUGUUAUCAUGCAUGCAUAUAUCUUCAAAGACCACAUAUGGAGAUCUUUGCAAGGAAUGGAUGGUCGUUUAGUAAUAGGCUAUGCAUAUAAGUUAUUUACUUUAUCCAAUCCUUUUUAGAUCAUACAUGAUUGUUUUGUACUAAUGGCUGGAUAUUUCGCACUAUGAUGUAGAGGCUAGAAUAUUCAACUAUUCCUUUAUCUAAAAAUCAUGCAUGCAUAUAUGGAACUUAAUUCUUGUUCGUUCAUUGUUGGAGUGUGCUUGCCGAUUGGUCAACAUAUUGCCACAAUGAAGCUGUUACAGGCAGGUACGUACCUACAGAAAGAACGACACUGCUGAGAGAUUGUCAUGCGCAAUCCAAAUGCCACCGCUGCAAGUUGAGCUGAUCAGCAGUACUGUAGGCCAUUUCUCUGUCAGCUCUAGCAACUGGUUUUCAUCUGUAGUCCAAGAGCAACUCUAGUAACACUUUCGAGUUCGCUGUAGUGCUACUGGCUUUUGAAAGCAAUCUCAGAAUUGGGAUGCCAAAUCAUUAAUUAGGCAGAGGAGGCAUUCAUGACCAGACGAGAGAUAUCGAACCAUGCAUUGAAGUAGCAUACCACACCCAAGAAAGAGAUUGAGGUGAAUACGUACGUAGAUGAUACAUGGGAGAGAUAAUAGAAGAUGGUGUCAUUUAUUUAUUUGGCUCAAUCUAUUCUACAGGAUAUCAUCAUAUUUCAUUCAAUUCGCAUUGUGAUAUUUAUAAUGCAUCCAAAAUCUAUUCUAUCGGAUAUCAUAUGUAUUUCAUUCAAAUCUGGGAGCCAAAGAAUGUAUAUUGAUACUUGAUGGGAUGUGGCAGGCAAGAUGGAUACAGGAGAGGCUAGCUCAUUGCUGUUAGCUUCUUCUUCUUCUCCGACUGAUCGAGAUCGCCAUGGCGCAGCUCCGUUGAAGAUGAUGGACACAGCAGCAGCUGCUGCUAGCUGCUAUUUGCAUUGCUCUUAAUCAUGAUCACGUCUUGCGCUCUGUCAUGUGCGCCCGCGAGGCCAUGAAGCAAGGGUACAAAUAUUUCCGCGGCACAUGCGAAAACCAUGUCACACCUCACCAGUGCUGCUGCACCUUCGCUUUCUCACCCCCGCCGGCGGCCAUGGAAUAAAUAGUGGCGGCGGCGGCGGCGGCAGCGGGCGGCGGCGACGGGUUGCUCUUGGCUUUUGCUGGGCAGCCAUCAACUCGAUCGUGUGCCUCGCUGCUCUGUAUGGGCUUUUUAGUCGUCUAGACUAGGGAGCAUCACAAGAAUUAAUAAUCUGUCAAAAGUUGGCAUGUACUCUAUGUUCAAGAUAUCAUAUACUUGGCAUCUUUUCAUUAUAAUACUAUACAUGAAAUCUAUCUCUGCUUUCGGCAGACAAAUUUGACUCCAAAAAAAAAGCAAAAGCCCGUGAUAAAAAAAUAAAUCACAUCCGAACAUAUAUGGGGUUAAGUUAAGGUAUCGAUUUACUUCUCAUGGAAGGUUAAGAAGGUGUCAUAGUAAACGAGACAUCUGGUUCGAUUUCGUACCUCCCCUGUGCCUCUAUAAAAUUAGCCUUCUUGCUUGGCCUCAGAACUGAAGGAGCAAAGCACGAUCAACAACACAUCUAGCAAGAUCCAAUUAAGCAGAAUAACAAGAGAGCUAGCUUCUUCUCCACAGCCCAUACUCCAUACCACACACUCGAUCCCAACCAUGGCACAUGUCAAGAAGCAGGGCACAGGUUUUGUUCUGCUCGCAGCUCUCCUCGUGGCCAUGGUCAUCUUACCUUGCAAAGCAGCAGGUAAUUAAUACUGUGCAGUUCAUGCAGCAGGUUACUAUAUAAUUCUUUUGUCCUGCGUGCACUGCUAAUAAUAACAGUGAUUAUUUGGUGACAGACUACUGCCACGCGAUCUUCCCGUGCUCGGGCGAGACGUGCAGUAACUACUGCCAGAAGAACAACUACAAGAACUUCCAGACGUUCUGCACGCCGGGCCAGUACUACCCCAACUGCUGCUGCCGAGUGCCGGAUGCAUGAACAGCAUCCGCCGCCGGGAGAAACUAAUUGUUAUCGAGCUGUAUGAUUUAUUAUGUAACGACGGCAUAGAGAGGAUUAGACAUGUUCGCUUCAGCCGGCUGAAAAGCUGAAACGACUGAUUUGUUGUGAGAAGAAAAUACUGUUUGGUGGUUGAUAAGCCGACUGAAUAAGCUGAAGCGAACGCUACUAGGUAUCCAUGAUCCAUGGAUCGGAUGUUGGUGAUGUGAUGACGUUCGCUGCCUUUGAUAAUGCACUUGCUGUAAUCAUCAAGCAGCAUAUAUGUGUGCUGGCAGAUUCAGUAGACUGGAGUAGUCUGGAUAGCAUAUUUGUCCUAUGAAAACAUAUGAUUUAUUAACGCUGCAUUUUUCUUUAUUUGUGCAAAUAUCCUUAAAAACUAUAUAGCUGGGCCAGGCCCAUUAAUAAACAGGCCUGCUAGCUAGUUUUCUUUUAGCCAAAUACGGCCUGGUAGAAAUUAUGUUUCAGCCCAUUCCUUUAAUGCCCAGUACCACAAAGUUAUAGCAAUGUAAAGCUCAGUUACUGGCCGGUCCAAACAUAAAAUCUUUUUUCGUUAGGGGCCAAAAUUCCAUAAAAGUAUCUGCCGAAACUCAAUCUUGGAAAAAGUGGCAACAAAUAAGUGACAUCCAAUUUGCAUCCUAAGAUGGCCAAAUCACGAUCUGCUUCUUCGUUUUCAUGCCUCCCUUGCACCAUUAUAUACCCCACGGUCCAAGGUUAUUAGCCAUGAACAACCGCACGUACUGGAACUAGACAGACCCAAACACAUCGAUCCCCAUGGCGCUUGUCAAGAAGGGCACUACUAGCUAUAGCUCCCCGUCGCUAGCGCUUCUCAUGGGGAUGGCCAUGGCCUUCUUCUCAUCUUGUCGCGCCGCAGGUAAUGCUCUGAUGACAAUGAUAUGUAUGCUCAUUUAGGUUUCAAUGACGUAUGCCGCUGAUGACAAUGAUUUGUAUGUUCAUUUGGGUGUGCCGUCAGACCACUGCCACGCCAUCGUGCCGUGCGAUGAGACGACGUGCUUCGAGUACUGCCAGAAGUACAAUUACAAUAGCUUCCCGACCUUUUUUUAAUUAAGAUAAUGGAGAAGUUCCGGCUUCAGACCCUCAUGAGAGGGGCAUCAGAUCGCGAUUAUUACAGACAUACUAGAGUUCACAUCACACUGGGUUUAACAUUAUUAACCAAUACGUAGAGUGAAAGACCGUCCAUGGGAUGUAAAAAAAAUACAUAGCUCUUGACUCUAAAAACUAGCAAGCCUUGACGAUCCCCUCCUUUUGAUCAUCAGUGUGCUGCAACAAUGCCCAGAACUGAAGCCAAUGUGUCCCCCUAAAUAGCACCUGCAAACAAGUUUUUUACCAUUGUUAAACAUAGUAUCGUUCCUUGUGAGCCAAAUUUCCUAAUGGUAAAUAAUAGGAGGUACCGGACGAACCCUGAAGACGUAAGUCUCUUAUAUACUGCCAUGUGCUAAUUUCCUAAUGGUAAUACAUCCUAAUCUUCAUUUACUGUGUACCUGCAGAUGCCUACCAUCGACAAUAAGUAUAACAAGAUCGAAGACAAACAAAUUAACAAUAUCUGUACGGACAUGGCGAGGUUCAUCCUACGCGAGAUUUGUCAUGAGGAUGGAGCAUUCUUUGAUAAAGAUGGCAUGUUGAUGGCGGACGAGUGCACAAAUCUUCGUAGAUGGGCGUAGUAGUUUUAAUAUUAGCGUGGCAAAUAAGCUCUAUUCCAAAUGUUAGAUUUUUAAUAAUGUGAAUUAUAUAUUAUGUACAAUGCAGUUUUUAAUAAUGUGAAUUAUUUAUUAUUUAAGUUUGUUGUUACAUGGUUGGAGAUACAUGUUUCAAUUUGACAGUUUGGCUAAAAACUAGCGGAAAAUAAAAAUUAUAAAUAACUCACGGAAAAUAAUAUAUUGAAUGGGAAAAUACAUAUUCCUGACAAGCAGCAUAAGUACCCGCCAGCACAGAAACCAUCUGUUCUGGCGGGUGGCUAAUGUCGCCCGCCAGCAGAGAGCGGUCUGUGUUGGCGAACGCCCGCCAGCACAAACGGUAUUUAGGCUGGCUCAAGGUUGUUGGCGGGUGCGAUACCUGAUAGCACAAAUGUGUUCUACCCGCCAGCGCAAAUUGCUUUCUUGUAGUGCAUUGAAAAAUCUGCUUUGAUCCAUGUGAACAAACCUGACCGCCUUCCUACCUGACAAAUCAAAAAGUACUGGUUUCUGAAAGCGAGCCUCCAUUUGGCUUUCUCCGAAAUCUCAUGGGCGAACUAGAGUGAGGCCAAAUGAUGCUCAUACCGGCUAGAACCCAGAGGUAGUGGUGAUACCCCUGAAAAAGUGAAAAGGGUAAACAUGUUUACUGAGAUUUCACAUAUGCGUGGCCUAUCAUUACCUUUUUGCCGUUUCGUCAUGCAUUUCUCCUCGGAGUCGACCAACUUUUGUGUGAUCUGGGAGAAAGUACAUGCUGCCAUUGAAUUUCAUGGCCCAUUCCAAUUAUGCCCGUACCACCACGCUGUAAUAGUAACUUUUGAGACAUAUACUCCGCAGAAAUGACUGAUCGAUAAGACCCGCAAAAAUGACUAUUAAGUUUACGGGAUCCAUACUCUUUAGGGUUCUUGCAUGUGACCUGGAUAAUGUUAAUAGCAAUUCCAAAGCAGGCUGCAGGCAACUAAACAAAAAACAAUUCUCCUGACCCUUGUGCUCUCUGCUUCCCCACGUAUCGUUCCUCCCAUUUUGCCGGUCUUUCAACCUUCGUGCAGACUAUGCAGAGUGAACACUUUGACAGCAGAGUGAACAAAGCAUUUCAAGUUAAACCUUUUUUUUUUACUUUGACUUGAGGUGAGUAUAGCUAUGUUUAGGUUUUUCCAAAGUUAAACUUUUUUUACUUUGACCAACAAUAUCUCUAAAAGUAAUUUAUUUUAAAAAGAAAAAAAAUAUUACUAACAUCAUUUUUAUAUUAUUAAUCUCUAUGAUUAUUUCGUUAUUCAUAUCAUAAUUGAAGAAAAUAAUUAACUUUGAAAAAUUCUAAACGUAGCUAUAUUUUAGGAUGGAGGGAAUUGCAAUCGGCCUAAGGGGGUGUUUGGGAACACCGUCCUAAACUUUAGCACAUAUCGCAUCGAAUGUUUGGCUCCUAAUUAAGAGUAUUAAAUAUAGUCUAAUUAUAAAACUAAUUGCACAGAUGGAGUCUAGUUCGCGAGAUGAAUCUAUUAAGCCUAAUUAGUUCAUGAUUUGACAAUGUGGUGCUACAGUAACCAUUUGCUAAUGAUGGAUUAAUUAGCCUUAAUAAAUUCGUCUCGCGAAUUAGACUCCAUAUGUGCAAUUAGUUUUGUUAUUACCUCAUAUUUAGUCCUUCUAAUUAGCAUUCAAACAUUCGAUGUGAUCCUGCUGAAGUUUAGCCCCUCCUAUCAAACAGCUUCUAAAUCUGUAAAUCAGCCCACACUCCCUUGGCUCCUGCUGGCUGCUACACUGUCCAGCGGUACAUGUUUACUACUGUGCAUGACUCAGGAUCGGAUCUACUUGGUUGAGUUUUUGCUCGAGAGUCGAGGUCGAGACCCAUGAGGAGACAUGACGUGAGCGUGCAACACUGAGCCUGUUCGCUUGAGCUUAUAAGCUGGCUGAAAAACUGAAAUGGCUGAUUUGUUGUGAGAGGAAAACACUAUUUGGUGGCUGAUAAGCCAGUCGAAUAAGCUGAAGCGAACAGGCCGACUAAAGAAAUUCGUAGCCAUGCCAGCUGGCUUCAGUCAUACACGGUCAACUGCAUGUGCGCAUGCACAAGCUUAUGUUGUGAUAAUCAGAAGCAGGUCGGAAGCAGAUUCUUGCUGUUGCAGUACUGUUGCUGAUCCUGAAGCUUGGGAUAGUGCUGGGAACCAUCUCGUUCAGUCAUUUUCAUUGUAUCAUUGUUGGGCAUUACCACUAAACCUAUAGUAGCACGCACACACGCCAUUAAAUACUUAUCUUCUGUAAUCUCUAUCUAAUAUUAAAGUGCAGCAGUUUCUUCCAACCGUCACAGUUUUUUCAAAAAAAAUUCUCAACUUUUUCAUAAUCAACCCGCAGUCCUUGGAAUAGUUCUUGAUGAUUUUACGAAAAGGUUCCCAAACUUUACUGCAAUUGACCCAAAGUCCAAACUUUGCUCCUGUUCUUUUGUCCCGCCCACACAGCGCACUCGCCGGCGGCAGCGCGGGACGCGCGCCACCCCUCCGUCGCUUACGUGGCCAAUCCUCCCCGCGCUCAACACGCACUACUGCCACUCGCGCUAGCGCUGCUCCCUCGAGCUGAACGCUCUAUCCCCCACCUGGACCUUAGGUGUGAAGGAGAGAGGAGGAAGGGAAAGAAAACAAGGAGCCAAGUUCUCCUUGCAGUCAACCAAGUAGAGCCAUGUGCUAUCGAGGGCAUGGCGCUAGGGAGGGGGGCAUCAAGCAAUUGAAGGCUCGAUUUUGCACUUGAUUGGAACGAUUUGAAGUGGAUUAUAGAAGGAAGGUGGAUGGAAACGAAAGAAGAGGAGGACGCACUCCUGCUCAUGGUGGCCAGAGGCGUUGUGGCUUAGCGCUCGAACAGGAAUGAGGCUAGGCACGGGGAGGACGAGUGCUUGCCUAGGCGACGGCGAGGACGGCAAGAUGCGCAACGCCUGGGCAAUGGCAUGGGGCAAGAUGCGGGUGGUGCCGAUGGACGAAGAUGCAACAAUUGGUUGGAUGACGAUGAGUACGAGGGAAAUCGAAUGAAUGGAUAGAGCGGAGGUUAAGCGGUGAAUUUUUUUAUUUCCAUAUGUGGGUCCCACAUAAUAAACAGAUGACAUCAAAAUACCCACAAAUAUCUUCUACUACUAUACUUGCAAAGAGACGCACCAACGCAUUGUGAAGCGAAGCCAGCAUAUUGGAACAAUCGAAUAAUAACGUGAGAGUAAGUAAGGACCCGUAGCAAUGUACGGGUAUUUCUGCGUAGUAAUUAAUAAUGGAGGCUAUAAUACCCCUCUUUGACUUAAAAUAAAACACCGAACUCGUCCUCUCGCUCGCCUCUCGCACAAUUAACCAAAGAAAACUCUGAACAUAUAAUGUAGAUGGAGUCUCUCUUCUUUAUUACAUCAAAGACAAUCUCUCUCAGUGUCCGAUCUUAUAACACGAGUUCCUCCAUUUUUAUAUGCGGAUAACAAACUUUUAACAUUAAGUUCCAUGUGGACCGAAGGUUUAAUAAUUUAGCUGCUGCUGAUGUAGUGGUUCAUCUUGUCGUAGUACCUGUCCCAGAUCAUGAGCCCUCCAUAGUUGGGCACCUUCUGUGCGAACUGCAGGAUGCCGUAGUAGAGGUCCUUCUGGAAUAGGUACGCGUCCUUGUCCGCCUCUGGCGACGCCACGACGCCGACGAACACCCGGCUCCCCGGGUACGCCGCCGCCCACUUGUUCC
This 15318-nucleotide long non-coding RNA is filed under the name Setaria italica (foxtail millet). RNAcentral describes it as "long non-coding RNA (SITA_LNC006129)". The record is from RNAcentral. Lineage: Eukaryota; Viridiplantae; Streptophyta; Magnoliopsida; Poales; Poaceae.